Capra hircus (goat) is the source of this 183-nucleotide small nucleolar RNA. The record is from Ensembl. Lineage: Eukaryota; Metazoa; Chordata; Mammalia; Artiodactyla; Bovidae.
CUCAUAAUGUGUGCAUAGUUUCCAUCUGUGUCUGAUGGCAGCAUCUGUCUGUGUUUUGCAUUCAGAUCUUGCUAUCCACACAAACGUCGUGCAGCCAGAGAAUAAGUUGGGAUCAUAGUACUGGUCUAGUGUGGUCUCUUGACCUCAUCUACCACUGGCCAGCCUCCAAAUUCCCACACAAGA